RNAcentral lists this ribosomal RNA (253 nucleotides) under uncultured bacterium. RNAcentral's name for it is "partial 16S ribosomal RNA". It matches the Rfam family "Bacterial small subunit ribosomal RNA", at positions 524 to 776 of the family's 1533-position model. The record is from RNAcentral.
UACGUAGGGGGCAAGCGUUGUCCGGAGUCAUUGGGCGUAAAGAGCGUGUAGGCGGCCAGACAGGUCCGUUGUGAAAACUCGAGGCUCAACCUCGAGAUGUCGAUGGAAACCGUCUGGCUAGAGUCCGGAAGAGGAGUGUGGAAUUCCUGGUGUAGCGGUGAAAUGCGCAGAUAUCAGGAAGAACACCUAUGGCGAAGGCAGCACUCUGGGACGGUACUGACGCUGAGACGCGAAAGCGUGGGGAGCGAACAGG